GCCUGGGUGGCUCAGCUGGUUAGGCGACUGACUUCGGCUCAGUUCAUCAUCUCACCGUGAGUUCGAGUCCCGCAUCGGGCU
This 81-nucleotide transfer RNA is filed under the name Felis catus (domestic cat). It matches the Rfam family "tRNA". From Rfam's summary of the family: Transfer RNA (tRNA) molecules are approximately 80 nucleotides in length. Their secondary structure includes four short double-helical elements and three loops (D, anti-codon, and T loops). Lineage: Eukaryota; Metazoa; Chordata; Mammalia; Carnivora; Felidae. The record is from Rfam by way of RNAcentral.